CCCUUAGACGUUCUGGGCCGCACGCGCGCUACACUGACCAGUGCAACAAGCAUCCGUCCUUGGCCGACAGGCUCGGGCAAUCUUUGAACGCUGGUCGUGAUGGGGAUAGACUUUUGCAAUUUUUGGUCUUCAACGAGGAAUUCCUAGUAAACGCAAGUCAUCAACUUGCAUUGAUUACGUCCCUGCCCUUUGUACACACCGCCCGUCGCACCUACCGAUUGAAUGGUCCGGUGAAGCCUCCGGAUUGGCGUGAGUCGGAGCAAUCUGACAAACACCGGAAAGUUGAUUAAACCUUACCAUUUAGAGGAAGGUGAAGUCGUAACA
RNAcentral lists this ribosomal RNA (324 nucleotides) under uncultured eukaryote. Its description in RNAcentral is "partial 18S ribosomal RNA". It matches the Rfam family "Eukaryotic small subunit ribosomal RNA", at positions 1470 to 1796 of the family's 1831-position model. The record is from RNAcentral.